AGUGAACGCUGGCGGUAGGCCUAACACAUGCAAGUCGAACGGCAGCACAGUAAGAGCUUGCUCUUACGGGUGGCGAGUGGCGGACGGGUGAGGAAUACAUCGGAAUCUACUUUUUCGUGGGGGAUAACGGAGGGAAACUUACGCUAAUACCGCAUACGACCUACGGGUGAAAUCAGGGGAUCUUCGGACCUUGCGCGAUUGAAUGAGCCGAUGUCGGAUUAGCUAGUUGGCGGGGUAAAGGCCCACCAAGGCGACGAUCCGUAGCUGGUCUGAGAGGAUGAUCAGCCACACUGGAACUGAGACACGGUCCAGACUCCUACGGGAGGCAGCAGUGGGGAAUAUUGGACAAUGGGCGCAAGCCUGAUCCAGCCAUACCGCGUGGGUGAAGAAGGCCUUCGGGUUGUAAAGCCCUUUUGUUGGGAAAGAAAAGCAGCAGGUUAAUACCCCGCUGUUCUGACGGUACCCAAAGAAUAAGCACCGGCUAACUUCGUG
This 492-nucleotide ribosomal RNA is filed under the name uncultured bacterium. RNAcentral describes it as "partial 16S ribosomal RNA". It matches the Rfam family "Bacterial small subunit ribosomal RNA", at positions 29 to 507 of the family's 1533-position model. The record is from RNAcentral.